Molecule: long non-coding RNA, 1540 nt
Filed under: Ananas comosus (pineapple)
Lineage: Eukaryota; Viridiplantae; Streptophyta; Magnoliopsida; Poales; Bromeliaceae
Description: long non-coding RNA (ACOM_LNC038781)
Source: RNAcentral
ACUAUUCAUCUAGCAGUUUAGCUGCUACAAACUGACGUUUUUCGCCGGAGCCCUUCUGAAUGUCCGUUUGCACUCAAAUUUGACAGUCAGGCUCGGUUUUACUUAAUAAGUACAAAGAAAUUUUAAUCUUUUAAUUUCGACCAUGUUUGGUCACCGAAAGUUCUACCGAACUGUAAUCUCUAGCAGAUAGCAGUCGGAUUUUAUUUUCCACCUUCCGGGUGUCGAAUUGACAUGAAAUUUUAAAUCCAGCCUCACAAAAAUAAUCCCGACAUAUUCCCAAGUUUUCAUAAUUUUCUGACACUGUUUAUUUUCUGCUAAAAUAUCAGCCCCGUUUCCAACAGAAAAUUCUAAAUCUUCUGUUUCAGGUCCGAUUUCAGCACAAGUCAUUUCUGACUUCUAUUUUUCUUCUCUAAGUCAAAUAAAAAUAGUAUCUCACACUAUUUUUAUUUAUAUUUAUUUUAGAUUAAAAAUCCGAUAUAUUACAUCCCACUAUAACUUCAUAAUUUCAGAAGUUCGGUACCUUACACACACUUUCUCACUUUAGUAUCCAGUGGUUUAAAGUGUAUCAAGUUAGUACUCUGUGGUUUCAUUUUUGUAUCAAGUUAGUACCCUGUGGUUUUAUUUUUCUAUUUUUAUUAUUCAUUUUGAGGUAUUUUUUUUGCUAAAUCAAUAACAAAGUUAAAACUAAAGGGUACUAAAAUGAAUAUUCGAUAAAUCUAUGUAGGAUAUCUGAAGUUUUUUGUAUAUAAUUUAACGAAAUAUUAAACCACAGGGUACUAAAGUGAGAAAGUGCAAAACCACAGGGUACUAACUUGAUACAUACUAAAGUGAGAAAGUGCGAAACCACAGUGUACUGACUUGAUACACUUUAAACCACAGGGAACUAAAGUGAGAAACUGUGUUUAAGGGUAUUUGAAGUUUUCCCAAAAUAAAAAAUAUUUUUUCUACAGGAAAGGCAAAAAAUUAUAGAAGAAGGGAAAAAAAGAUGAAAUUGCACUGUUAAAAUAAAGUUACACUAUUUUAAAAAAAAAUUGCACUAUUUUAGAUGAAAGUUGCGCUCUUUGAGACAGAAAUUAUACUCUUUGGGAUGAGAGUUACACUCUAUAGGCGAAAGUUGCACUAUUUGAGUGAAAUUUACACAAUUUCUUAUUCUCUUCUUCUCCUCCGUUUUCUCGUCCUCGUCCUCCUUUUUCCUCUUCUACCUUUUCUGCCGUCAAGCGCCCUGUCAUGCCCCGGGGUUCUUUUGCAAAUCCUUUUUAAGGAAAGUUAGCAGAAAACGUGUAGAUUUUUUUUUUUGAAAUAUCUUUUGUUACGGAUUUUAUGUUUGCAUAUUUCGUGAUGUUAGUCGGAGUCUUGAAUGGUUGAAAAAGAAGAGAUGAAAAUCAAAGACUCGAAGACUCAAAACAUGAAUGCACGAUGCUCGGUAAGUUUAAAUACUAUUGAUGAUAAUUUAUAAAUGUUUAAAAGUGUUUGGAAGACUUAGGAUGGUUUUUAAAUAUGAAUAUGGACGAAACUGAGCCUUAUCAGGGUUCAGGGACCG